AGUCGAGGGGUAGUAUAGCAAUAUAUGAGACCGGCGCACGGGUGCGUAACGCGUAUGCAACCUACCUUUUACAGGGGAAUAGCCCAGAGAAAUUUGGAUUAAUGCCCCAUGGUAUAUUUUAGUGGCAUCACUGGAUUAUUAAAGUUCCAACGGUAAAAGAUGGGCAUGCGUCCUAUUAGCUAGAUGGUAAGGUAACGGCUUACCAUGGCUACGAUAGGUAGGGGUCCUGAGAGGGAGAUCCCCCACACUGGUACUGAGACACGGACCAGACUCCUACGGGAGGCAGCAGUGAGGAAUAUUGGACAAUGGGCGCAAGCCUGAUCCAGCCAUGCCGCGUGCAGGAAGAAGCAUCUAUGGUGUGUAAACUGCUUUUGUACGGGAAGAAACACUCCUACGUGUAGGAGCUUGACGGUACCGUAAGAAUAAGGAUCGGCUAACUCCGUGCCAGCAGCCGCGGUAAUACGGAGGAUCCAAGCGUUAUCCGGAAUCAUUGGGUUUAAAGGGUCCGUAGGCGGUUUGGUAAGUCAGUGGUGAAAGCCCUUCGCUCAACGGAGGAACGGCCAUUGAUACUGCCAGACUUGAAUUACUGGGAAGUAACUAGAAUAUGUAGUGUAGCGGUGAAAUGCUUAGAUAUUACAUGGAAUACCAAUUGCGAAGGCAGGUUACUACCAGUGGAUUGACGCUGAUGGACGAAAGCGUGGGGAGCGAACAGGAUUAGAUACCCUGGUAGUUCACGCCGUANACGAUGGAUACUAGCUGUUGNGAGCAAUCUCAGUGGCUAAGCGAAAGUGAUA
Molecule: ribosomal RNA, 794 nt
Filed under: uncultured Bacteroidota bacterium
Lineage: Bacteria; Pseudomonadati; Bacteroidota
Description: bacterial SSU rRNA
Rfam family: Bacterial small subunit ribosomal RNA
Source: RNAcentral